Molecule: long non-coding RNA, 458 nt
Organism: Oreochromis niloticus (Nile tilapia)
Lineage: Eukaryota; Metazoa; Chordata; Actinopteri; Cichliformes; Cichlidae
Exons: 3
Source: RefSeq, a predicted model, not a curated record
CUCUUUAGUUCUGAUCUCACUGCUGAGCUGCACAACAAACCAAGAGACAGAUUUAGCUGACUCAGCAGUGAGACCUGAAGACAUCAGUUAUGGACAAACAAUCAUCAGAACAAGAAGGCCCAGACUUUAAACCAGAUCCUGACAUCAUCUGCUCUUCAGUCCACCAGUCCAACCAGUGACAUCCAGCUGCUGUUCUCCAAUUGAUGCCCCCAACACUUCCGACCAGAGUACAACAUUCACAUGACCAGAUUUUAAUAUUUCUUUCUUACUAAAUAAGAAAAAAAAUAUUUCUCCUUCUUUAUCUCAAAUUUUAAAGUGCAUUUCCUUGUAAAAUCAGCCAUGGUAGAAUAAAUAUGUAUUUUUUUAAUGUCUGCAGUGACAUUGAAAGCGUUUUACUGUUUGACCCUGCUGUUGUUACUGUAGCAGGGAUUUAAUUUCUAAAUAAACUGUUGUUGUCA